ACACGACUACAUUAGAUACCCGUGUAGUCCUAGCCGUAAACGAUACUCGCUAGGUGUCGGCCACGGUGCGACCGUUGUCGGUGCCGUAGGGAAGCCGUGAAGCGAGCCACCUGGGAAGUACGGCCGCAAGGCUGAAACUUAAGGAAUUGGCGGGGGAGCACAACAACGGGUGGAGCUUGCGGUUUAAUUGGAUUCAACGCCGGAAAUCUUACCGGGACCGACAGCAACAUGAAGGCCAUGCUGAAGACUUUGCCGGAUUAGCUG
RNAcentral lists this ribosomal RNA (264 nucleotides) under uncultured archaeon. Its description in RNAcentral is "partial 16S ribosomal RNA". It matches the Rfam family "Archaeal small subunit ribosomal RNA", at positions 719 to 982 of the family's 1478-position model. The record is from RNAcentral.